RNAcentral lists this long non-coding RNA (1865 nucleotides) under Homo sapiens (human). RNAcentral's name for it is "HSALNT0035806". Lineage: Eukaryota; Metazoa; Chordata; Mammalia; Primates; Hominidae. The record is from RNAcentral.
CACACACGUACACAUGCUCAUAUGCACAUGUGCUCACACAUACAUAUGCACACACACGUCCUGUCAGGCUGGGUCAGAAACGCACUUUCUCCAUUAUUCAUGAUCUUAUUCAGGAGUCUUUAUUUUGGUUAAGGAGGGUCGUAGGGGAGAGAGGGGCAGCAGGUGCUUCAUUACAUCACAAAUUCUUUGCUGCAGGCUCUGCGUGGGGGGUGAGCAGAGGACAUCAGAAGAAACUGAGGCGGCCUCGGAGCCCCUGGCAGGAGCUCUUCACUGGGACCCCCAGCCCCGUCUGCAGCCCAUCUCAGAACAGCACUGGCUUGGCUGGCAAGGCUGCUUCUCGGGGCCCAGGCGCAUCAGCUCUGCGAGAGUGGAACCUGAUCCUCAUGUGACCUGCUUUUCCUCGUGACACAGCCUGGCACCCAAGAGAUCCUCACUCCCAAAACUCAACAGUAAAAGAGCAAACCAUCAGGUUAGAAAAUGUGAAAGACAUGCACAGACAUUUCACCAGAGAGGACACGUGGAUGGCAAAGGCGGCGGGAAGAGAUGUUCGCCGUCAUUAGCCAUUCUGGCAACGCAGAGGAGGACCGCUGUGAGACACCACCAUGUGCCUGUCCGAACAGCUAGAACCAAAGAUAAUGACAACUGAAAGCUGGUGAGGAUGUGGAGAAACGGAAUCACCCCUCCAUUGUCGGUGGAAAGGGAAAACGCCUUAGCCACUCUGGAGAACAGUCUGGCAGCUUCCUAUAAAAACUAGGCAUGCGCUACCACAGAGCCCGACCACGGUAUUUUUGGCCGUUUAUCCUGAAGAAACGAAAAGUUAUGUUCAAGUGAAAACAUGUACACAAAUGUUCAUGGCAGCUUUACUUGGAACGGCCCCAUACUGGAAGCAACCCAAUGCCCUUCAAUGGGUGAAUGAUUAAACAAACUCCAGUGCAUCCAUACCACGGAAUUCUGGACAAGUAAAACAAACAAACUGUUGGCGCACACCACACCUGCGUGAACCUCCAGAGAAUUACGCUGAAUGAAAAAGCCAACCCAAAAGGUCACAUUCUGUGUGAUUCUAUUUAUAUAACAUUGUAAAAUGACAAAGUUUUAGAAAUGGAGAACAGAUUAGAGGGCCAGGGGUUAAGGAUGGGGGGAGGCAGGCAGGAGGGAGAGGGGUGUGGCUCUCACAGGGCGGCAGGAGGGGCCUUGAGGGGACAGAGCUGUUUUGCAUCUUGAUGGUGCUGUUGAGUGCCUGAACCUACACGUGAUAAAAAUUGUAGCAAAAAAUGCACACGGAAAUGAGUGCGUGUGAACUGGGAAAUCGGACUAGGACUGGUGGGUUGCAUCAUUGCAGACACUCCAGUUGUGCUAUUGUGUUGUAGUUUUGAAAUAUGCUGUCAUUGGGGAAACCAGGUUAAGUGUACAUGGGCCCUCUUUGUGAGCUCCUGCAACUGCAUGUGAAUCUACAACGAGCUCAAUAAAGAUUUCCAUCAAAAAAUACUCUCAUGCACCCAAAAAGAAGGUGUUAAAAACGCAAGCAUGCACAAGGCUCUGAAUAAAUAUUCACGAAUGAUCAAAAGUCCCCUGUGCUCUUCACAAUUCACCUGGGGCUCUCUCCUCCCACUCCUGCUCGAUGCCGGCCUCAUUUUAAUGGGUGACAGAACUGUCAUUGUCUACCAGCUUUAGAGGAUGGCCAGGGUUGAGUGGCAGAGACGAGUGAAGCCAGAAGAUCUGGGCCCUGGGUUCAGGCAGAGUCCCUGGUGGCAUACUUGGCAGUGUGGGCAUUUAGGGCUGUGUCCCAGAAACGGCCCUAGGCUGGCCCUGGGGACCUGCAGCCUUCUCAAAGGUCACAAGUUUCCCUGAAGGAUAGAGGCUGCUGG